Spinacia oleracea (spinach) is the source of this 356-nucleotide long non-coding RNA. RefSeq lists it as uncharacterized. NCBI's taxonomy places the organism in Eukaryota, Viridiplantae, Streptophyta, Magnoliopsida, Caryophyllales, Amaranthaceae. The transcript is spliced from 3 exons. The record is from RefSeq and is a predicted model, not a curated record.
UUUCUUUGGGUUCUCGUCGGUAGACAAAAGCUCCUCCUUCUUCCUUCAAACUAGGUCCGACUCUGACCUCCAUUUUCUUCACCAUCAAAUCUCGCCGGGUUCACCAUCAAAUCUCGCCGGGAAAAGUGAAGCUUAAGAUUCAUAUCCACCGUCAUUAGCCUUCGAACUCAUCUCCACCACCGCCGUUCUUACUUAAGUUUAGGUGCUUCCAAGAAAGAGGAGCGCAAAUUUGAGAAAAACACGAGUUUUGUUUUCCAAAAUCAUGGAGGCUGUUGCAACCUCAAGUGCUAAGAAUAUAAUUCACAAGGUGAAUUUUAAAUUAAACUUCUUGAUGUGCUGUCUUCUGAAGAAACACG